Molecule: ribosomal RNA, 483 nt
Filed under: uncultured bacterium
Lineage: Bacteria
Description: bacterial SSU rRNA
Rfam family: Bacterial small subunit ribosomal RNA
Source: RNAcentral
AGAUGGCUCAGGACGAACGCUGGCGGCGUGCUUAACACAUGCAAGUCGAACGGAGAUGUUAGCAAUAACAUCUUAGUGGCGGACGGGUGAGUAACGCGUGGGCAACUUGCCUCAGACUGGGGGAUAACACAGGGAAACUUGUGCUAAUACCGCAUAACAUCGAGAGAGGACAUCCUCUUUCGAUCAAAGGAGCAAUCCGGUUUGAGAUGGGCCCGCGUCCGAUUAGCUAGUUGGCGGUGUAAUGGACCACCAAGGCGACGAUCGGUAGCCGAACUGAGAGGUUGAUCGGCCACAUUGGGACUGAGACACGGCCCAGACUCCUACGGGAGGCAGCAGUGGGGAAUAUUGCACAAUGGGGGAAACCCUGAUGCAAGCAACGCCGCGUGAAGGAUGGAGGCUUUCGGAUUGUAAACUUCUUUGAUGAGGGACGAAUAAUGACGGUACCUCAAAACAAGCCACGGCUAACUACGUGCCAGCAGCUGC